CAGGGACCCACCCCUAUCUGCCUCAGCAUUUGGCUGACUCCUAUCGCUAUCAAAACUGUGUUAAUGUAUUAGAAACUCUUGAAUCCCCAGAUUCUCCUGUAUCCUCUGGGUCUGCAGAAGCAACCCACUCCUUCCUGUUAAAAGAUGGUACUCUGAUGUGCACCACCACCCCCAAGGAACACCCCUUGGUUUAAGCCAAUGCAAAGUCCUUUGCCUUGCGAGACAGCAUGCACACUCCUCAAGGAUAUGUUCUCAACUCCCCUCCUGACCAAUAAUCAGAAAUAUGUCACAACGUAACCCAACUGUGCUGGGCCUGCUAAGAGAGGAAAGGGAUUACAGCCAGCAGGAGCCACCGGACAUAUAUGCAUAUGCAUACAUUCCAAUAUGCGCUGGCAGGAGCUGGGAGAAUACAUAAAUGACUAGAUUCUAAGGGUACUGGAUCAAGGGGCAUGGGACAUAAAGUUGGUUAGGGGACAGUUUAUCAAUAUGGCAGCACUCUUCUGCAAUACAGAUUUAAUACCCUAUUUAAGGAGGUGAAGCUAACAUAUUUCUAGGAUGGCCCUUAGAAGCUUGGACAAAGUGAAGUAGAAGUGCCAGAAUUGCUGUGGCAGAUGGUGGAAGAGGGAUAGAAACCUUGAGCAGUAGGCCUACUACAGUGGAUAUAAUUAGCAAAACUGGGAAACUCACUCUAUGACUAUGUUUGGUGGGAAGCCCUGGAGGACACACUGUUGAUAAAAUCAAUAAGAAAUGCACUGACAAGAAGGCACCAGAAUCUCUGAGAAGCUUAGUGGUUGGUGAUAGUCUUCUGCAAGGUGGGAGAUCCUGUUGCAGAACUGGGCUCUCUGAUAGUAGAAGGAAAUGACAGAAUUCCAAAAUAAUAGAGUCAGGUGACACUUAAAUACCAGAAGAAAAGUGGGUGCAAUUAUUGUCAUGAAAAGCAAAGCUGAAGUGGAAGCCCAGGAGGCCUGACCUGAGAGCUAUUGAAGCAGCAACUAGAACGUGAUGUCCCUGGAGAAACUGUUACCCGUAAGUCAUCUGGGAGUUCCGGUCUUAAGCAUGAGCUGCCCGAUUCUUCUUGCUUGGUGCCCUGCAAUAAAUGCCUCACUUUCUCUUGAUGCUAUGCCAAUGUCAGCAUGUGGCUUUGCUGCCCCAGGCAAGUGGACCCCAGUUCAGUUUGAUAACAAAGAUAAGUAAAUCAAAACCAAUAUCAUAUCCUGGGGGAAAACAGCAGCUGAAAACAUCUGCCUCCUCCGUGGUCAUGUUCCCACAUCCAGUGGCAGGCCAAUCCUUGAGGAUCAGGACAAUUCUGAAAGGCCAUCCUUCAUCUGGAGUCUUCCAUGAGAUUGACUGAGACCACUGGUGCGACCGUGUCACACCCCAAUUCCCCUUCUGCCCAGUCUGGCUUUCUCCACCCCCGACAGGUGUUGAUUCCCAAGAGUCUCUCCCAAUAACCUUAUUGCAUGUGAAUAUAUAUUUUAGAAUCUGCUUCCUGGGAAAUCUGACAGGACAGAAUGAAUCCACAACAUUCACUACCAGAAGAUGCUCUGCCUUUGAACUGGCCUGCCCAUGGGCUUUUCCCUGGACCUUGGGAGCACCUCUAAUCAAAAGUUAAUACCCAGAGCCUCAGAGGUUUCACUGAAACACUGCCCAGGAAGGAGUCACUGAAAAUCCUAUGAGGAAGGGAAGUGGGGGAACCUGGGAGGAAGGAAACUACACAAUCUGAAAGAUGUAUAAAUACAAAGUUUCCAUAAGUUUGGGGCUUGAAUCAUAUACCUGAGAGAGAGAGAUUUCUAGGAAUGAAAAGAAGCAAGCCACAGCCUUUCAUCAACUACCUAAGCCAAGCAGUGGGCAGAUCUACCAGCUGGCCAGGCAGGGGGUGCUGAAUGGCUGUCAGUCUUGUGGACAGGACGUCCCAACUAUUCUGACCUGUCACCGCUAUUUUGGGCACAGAAGGGAGGACCGUGGGGUCGUCAGCCUCAAGGCAUUUAGUCUUCUAUUCCUUUUCUCUUCCUUUCCAGUUCUUUGAAAUGAGAAUCAGGGUUUAUGUCCAGUCCCAGAGUGACACCUUAGACACCUUAAUUACACCACUUUGUUCUCUCUCUCUCUCUCUUUCUUUUUUUUUUUUUUUUGAGAUGGAAUUUUGCUCUUGUUGCCCAGGCUGGAGUGCAAUGGUGCAAUCUCGGCUCACCGCAACCUCCCCCUCCUGGGUUAAAG
RNAcentral lists this long non-coding RNA (2214 nucleotides) under Homo sapiens (human). Its description in RNAcentral is "HSALNT0017062". The record is from RNAcentral. Lineage: Eukaryota; Metazoa; Chordata; Mammalia; Primates; Hominidae.